CUUUCAACAACGGAUCUCUUGGUUCCAGCAUCGAUGAAGAACGCAGCGAAAUGCGAUAAUUAAUGUGAAUUGCAGAAUUCAGUGAAUCAUCGAGUCUUUGAACGCACAUUGCGCCCCUCGGUAUUCCGGGGGGCAUGCCUGUUCGAGCGUCAU
This 153-nucleotide ribosomal RNA is filed under the name Nephromopsis coralligera. RNAcentral's name for it is "5.8S ribosomal RNA". It matches the Rfam family "5.8S ribosomal RNA". Rfam says of the family: 5.8S ribosomal RNA (5.8S rRNA) is a component of the large subunit of the eukaryotic ribosome. It is transcribed by RNA polymerase I as part of the 45S precursor that also contains 18S and 28S rRNA. Functionally, it is thought that 5.8S rRNA may be involved in ribosome translocation. Lineage: Eukaryota; Fungi; Ascomycota; Lecanoromycetes; Lecanorales; Parmeliaceae. The record is from RNAcentral.